RNAcentral lists this microRNA (22 nucleotides) under Strongyloides ratti. RNAcentral's name for it is "str-miR-8366a-3p". The record is from miRBase by way of RNAcentral. Lineage: Eukaryota; Metazoa; Nematoda; Chromadorea; Rhabditida; Strongyloididae.
UACCCGUAGUCCAAUGCUGUCA